CAGGCGGUAUACAAAGCAUAUUUCUAGGCUUAAGGGCUAAGUGCCGGGAUGUAGAAGAAGAAGAGAUGGGCAACGGUUGGCACUUAAUGCCAGGUAGUUUUUGCACAGGUAGUCCCUGCUUUGCAUACGCAGCGCGAGCGAGAGAGACAGAGAGAGAGAGAGAGAGCGAGGAUCACACGAGCAUCCUGCGGAAGUGUGUGAAACUAGAGAUGACACCUGGCGAGACCAACACGAGCAUGUGCCGUGUUUCCAUGUCACGUGUCACGCCAAAAAGAAACGAUUAUUUCACUGUAAAUGUUAUUCAAAUAGAAAUAUAAUAUGUAUAUUAUAGA
Drosophila virilis is the source of this 332-nucleotide long non-coding RNA. RefSeq lists it as uncharacterized. NCBI's taxonomy places the organism in Eukaryota, Metazoa, Arthropoda, Insecta, Diptera, Drosophilidae. The record is from RefSeq and is a predicted model, not a curated record.